This 307-nucleotide unclassified non-coding RNA is filed under the name plant metagenome. RNAcentral's name for it is "partial contains 5.8S ribosomal RNA, internal transcribed spacer 2, and large subunit ribosomal RNA". The stretch from base 1 to 105 matches the Rfam family "5.8S ribosomal RNA", at positions 50 to 154 of the family's 154-position model. The record is from RNAcentral.
GAAAUGCGAUAAGUAGUGUGAAUUGCAGAAUUCAGUGAAUCAUCGAAUCUUUGAACGCACAUUGCGCCCUUUGGUAUUCCAAAGGGCAUGCCUGUACGAGCGUCAUUUGUACCCUCAAGCUUUGCUUGGUGUUGGGCGUCUUGUCUCUAGCUUUGCUGGAGACUCGCCUUAAAGUAAUUGGCAGCCGGCCUACUGGUUUCGGAGCGCAGCACAAGUCGCACUCUCUAUCAGCAAAGGUCUAGCAUCCAUUAAGCCUUUUUUCAACUUUUGACCUCGGAUCAGGUAGGGAUACCCGCUGAACUUAAGC